GACGGACGCUGGCGGCGUGCUUAACACAUGCAAGUCGAACGGAAAGGCCCUGCUUUUGUGGGGUGCUCGAGUGGCGAACGGGUGAGUAACACGUGAGUAACCUGCCCUUGACUUUGGGAUAACUUCAGGAAACUGGGGCUAAUACCGGAUAGGAGCUCCUGCUGCAUGGUGGGGGUUGGAAAGUUUCGGUGGUUGGGGAUGGACUCGCGGCUUAUCAGCUUGUUGGUGGGGUAGUGGCUUACCAAGGCUUUGACGGGUAGCCGGCCUGAGAGGGUGACCGGCCACAUUGGGACUGAGAUACGGCCCAGACUCCUACGGGAGGCAGCAGUGGGGAAUAUUGCACAAUGGGCGGAAGCCUGAUGCAGCAACGCCGCGUGCGGGAUGACGGCCUUCGGGUUGUAAACCGCUUUCGCCUGUGACGAAGCGUGAGUGACGGUAAUGGGUAAAGAAGCACCGGCUAACUACGUG
RNAcentral lists this ribosomal RNA (468 nucleotides) under uncultured bacterium. RNAcentral's name for it is "partial 16S ribosomal RNA". It matches the Rfam family "Bacterial small subunit ribosomal RNA", at positions 28 to 507 of the family's 1533-position model. The record is from RNAcentral.